RNAcentral lists this ribosomal RNA (253 nucleotides) under uncultured bacterium. RNAcentral's name for it is "partial 16S ribosomal RNA". It matches the Rfam family "Bacterial small subunit ribosomal RNA", at positions 524 to 776 of the family's 1533-position model. The record is from RNAcentral.
GACGGAGGGGGCUAGCGUUGUUCGGAAUUACUGGGCGUAAAGCGUGUGUAGGUGGUUGCCGUAGUCAGGCGUGAAAGCCUUGAGCUCAACUCAAGAAAUGCGCUUGAUACUGGGCAGCUAGAGGACCGGAGAGGAUAGUGGAAUUCCCAGUGUAGUGGUGAAAUACGUAGAGAUUGGGAAGAACACCAGUGGCGAAGGCGGCUAUCUGGACGGUUUCUGACACUAAGACACGAAAGCGUGGGGAGCAAACAGG